UGAUUGCGGAUUAUUGGCAUAGGCCUGCGA
This 30-nucleotide non-coding RNA is filed under the name Bombyx mori (domestic silkworm). Lineage: Eukaryota; Metazoa; Arthropoda; Insecta; Lepidoptera; Bombycidae. The record is from RNAcentral.